This 1491-nucleotide long non-coding RNA is filed under the name Carica papaya (papaya). Its description in RNAcentral is "long non-coding RNA (CPAP_LNC015602)". Lineage: Eukaryota; Viridiplantae; Streptophyta; Magnoliopsida; Brassicales; Caricaceae. The record is from RNAcentral.
AAUGAAAAAUAUUAGGAAAUAAAUUGUAAUAAAUAUUAAAUUUUAAAUUUUAACUUAGUAAUUUGCACUAUUUAUAGCCCAUAAUUUAGCAGUUUGAAGUUUUAAAACGUGUUAAAAAUAUAAUGCGAAAAGGUAGAGAUCUUAUAAUUAUCAAUCUUCACAUUUAAGUACUUGAAACAUAAACGAGUUAUGAAUGGAUUAAUAAUUACGUAAACAAGUGACAAUUAGGAUUCAAGGUAAUUAAGUAUAAUGAGAUUACAUUUCAAUCAAGUCAAAAAUUAAGCAAAGUCUGGAGUUAGAAUGUCUUCUCACUCUUAUGGGUAUUAUAUCGUAUUGACAUAAAACACAAAAAUUUAUAACAUUGCUUACAAUUUCAUUUCUUGCACUUUAAAAUGGGUUCUUAAUCGAAACAUUAACAAACCAUGUCGUGCGUCAAUAAUCUCGAGAAACUAAACAGUAGUUUAAAAAUCAAAAAAUUAAAUCGACUCAAUGGAAGUCAGCACAUGGUCCAUACACUCUUUAGGUCUAUUUACUGUUCCGACAUUAAUGUGGUUACAGUGGUUUAAUUAUGGAGAGGGUUAUGGAUUUUAGUUUAAACUCCAAUUAGGCCUGGACAAGUGGGUUAACAAUGAGUGAUAAAUUAGAUACCUGUUGGGCUCAGAUAAGCGUGUUAGAAUUGUGGAACAAGUAAAUACUGAUUGGGCUUAGAUGAAUUGAACUGACUGGUCCUCUUUUUUAGAAAAAAAAAAAAACUAGACAGAAUUGCAAACAAAAGAAAAAAAAAGAAAAAAGAAAAUAAAAUAAAAGAAUGUAUGUAGAUAUAUCAGUAAACAAUGAUGGCAAAAGAAUUGAGGGGAUAAAGAAAGAUUGAAUCAGUGGGUCAGCGGGUCAUUCGUAGAAUUUAGAGAACAAGGGAUAAAAUAAAUUAGAAAUAAAACUAGAGGUGUAAAACUGGGCCAAUCAUAAGGGGUGUAAGAAGAUAAAUUAAAAAUCAAGAAUGCCAAUGGUUAGCAAUGUUGUAAAAGAAAUUGUAGUGGGAAAAAUUGCAUACAGAAUUUAGGAAAAAUUAAAAGAUUAAAUACAUAUAAAAAUAUUCUGAACCAAAUUAAAGAUGCUUAAGAAAUUAAACAUAAAAGAUAACAAAUCUAUAUAACAGAUUUACUUUAUAUCAAGGAGGGGAGGGUGUGUGAGUGUGACAACCUACACACUCGAGAUCAAUAUCAUCUCAUCUGCCAUUCUCAUUUCAAAAAUGUUUACUGUAAUACAAUUUCAUUUCAUUACUGCACCCAAUAAAUGAGUUCAAUAUUUCCUUCCCCCUAUAUUUUCUUUCAUCAUAUAACUAUGGACCCAACUCUAGCAUACCACAAUACACAAACAAUAGCCAGAGAGAAUUUACAUAAUUUGUUUAAGCUAACAACCAGAAUCUGUAUUGCCAUUUAUUCCUACAUUUUGUACAUUUCAUACAUGGACCUGCAUCUACCCAAAAUUUUU